AAUAAAACAUAGAUCAAGUGGCAUAAAGAACGAGUAAAGUUAAAGAACAAUGAUUGCUAGAGUUAGCAAAAUAAAGUGAUGAAAAGAACACUAGAGUUAGUGUGUGGCAUCAAAGAAAAAUGUGACGCAAAGAACGAUGAUAAUGAGUAGAGACAAGGAAAAUGAAAGUGGCAUAAAGAACGAGCAAAAUUAAAGAACAACGAUUUGCUAGAGUUAGCAAAAUAAAAUGAUG
This 232-nucleotide long non-coding RNA is filed under the name Ananas comosus (pineapple). RNAcentral's name for it is "long non-coding RNA (ACOM_LNC031587)". The record is from RNAcentral. Lineage: Eukaryota; Viridiplantae; Streptophyta; Magnoliopsida; Poales; Bromeliaceae.